AGUAAGCCUGAAGGGUUCCAGACUAUUCUUUUCGAACAUUCUGCCCUAAUUGAAGUGUUUCGCGAAAACUUGUCGAUGUUUUAUGAGAACAGUCGCGAAUAAUUCGUAGCUUGAAUCGAAAUUUCGCCCGGUGCAAGUGAAAGUGUUGGCCAUUGUUUCGGAACUUGCCGGAUUGUGCCUCUUGAGUGACCGGCAUGUAUUUGAUAUUCCACAGAUUUUCGUCGUUCAAUUAAUAGUGAGAAUCUCCGAUCAUCUCAUUAUUAUCGUUUCUCGCGAUACCCCUCGGUUUAUUUCAGAACAGUCGUGUGUAAUUUCGUAGCUUGAAACGGUAGCGAUCCAAAUCUAAUUGAUAUUCCUUAAAUUUUCGAUGUAUUAUUCGUAGUGUGAAUCGCCGAUUAUCGCCUAAUUAGUUCGUGUUUCGCUUGAACUCUUCGGUUUAUUUGAAAACAUUCGUCGUGUGUCAUUCGCAACUUGAAUCGAAAUUUUGCUCGCGGCAAGUGCAAGAGUCUGCCUCUUUCUUGGAACUUGUCGAAUCGUGGCCUCGUGGGAUCCAAGCUCUGACUUUUGGUGCCCUGAUCUUGGGAGUGUAAUUGACAUUCCAUAGGUUUUCGUGUUUCGUCGUAUUAUUAAAAGUGUGAAUUGCCGAUUCACCAGUGCGGUUUUCGGAUUUCGGAUGCGUGUGAACAAUUUUGUGCGAAUCGUUCGAUGAACUCAUGUCGUGGUGUUUGACAUUUUCGUGCGUGUGUGUAUGCUUUCCUAACGCCUAAAUUAUCAAGUGUGUUCGCGUGGUUCGUGGUUCCUGUUCAAUUUUCUAUGAUUCAAUCGAUCGAGAGUUUUCAUAACAGCAAAGAGGAUGCCCAAUGUCUGGUCGAAAAUUUGUCUCCCUGCCGCCGUUGGUACUGGAUUGAGUGCAUAGUGCGGAAUUAGUGUCAACUUUGUGAGUGCUUUCAGCUUGGCGUCGGGCAAUUGGAUAACUCUCACCUGGUACGUAUCUGAUAGUCUUUCCAUUAUUAUCUUCCAAUUUAAUUUAUUAAUGCACUGUCCGUCCGCAGCUGACAGAUACCGGACUUUUUAUUAUCACUCCUACACUCUGCGUAGCAAGAUAGACUGGUAAGGGGUCGUUACAUAAC
Molecule: long non-coding RNA, 1130 nt
Filed under: Bemisia tabaci
Lineage: Eukaryota; Metazoa; Arthropoda; Insecta; Hemiptera; Aleyrodidae
Description: lncRNA ENSASIAIIG004169
Source: RNAcentral